CCUACGGGUGGCUGCAGUCGAGGAUCUUCGGCAAUGGGCGCAAGCCUGACCGAGCGACGCCGCGUGAGCGAUGAAGGCCUUCGGGUCGUAAAGCUCUGUCGGGGGGGAGAAAAGGCGCAAGCCUUGAUCGACCCCCGGAGGAAGCACGGGCUAAGUUCGUGCCAGCAGCCGCGGUAAGACGAACCGUGCGAACGUUAUUCGGAAUCACUGGGCUUAAAGGGCGCGUAGGCGGGUCAUCAAGUCAGGGGUGAAAGCCCACGGCCCAACCGUGGAAG
RNAcentral lists this ribosomal RNA (275 nucleotides) under uncultured bacterium. RNAcentral's name for it is "partial 16S ribosomal RNA". It matches the Rfam family "Bacterial small subunit ribosomal RNA", at positions 338 to 621 of the family's 1533-position model. The record is from RNAcentral.